This 73-nucleotide transfer RNA is filed under the name Stegodyphus mimosarum. It matches the Rfam family "tRNA". From Rfam's summary of the family: Transfer RNA (tRNA) molecules are approximately 80 nucleotides in length. Their secondary structure includes four short double-helical elements and three loops (D, anti-codon, and T loops). The record is from Rfam by way of RNAcentral. Lineage: Eukaryota; Metazoa; Arthropoda; Arachnida; Araneae; Eresidae.
GCCAUCGUAGUGUAAUGGUUAGCCCACUCGACACGUAUUCGAAAGGUCCGAGGUUCGAAUCCCGGCGAGGGCA